Molecule: ribosomal RNA, 780 nt
Filed under: Triticum aestivum (bread wheat)
Lineage: Eukaryota; Viridiplantae; Streptophyta; Magnoliopsida; Poales; Poaceae
Description: partial small subunit ribosomal RNA
Source: RNAcentral
AUGAUAUUUAUCUUGACCUACGAGGAGAUUUACUGGAAACAGAGGGGUCAGAAAAAUUGGGUGCUCAAGGGGGACGCGAGUACCCAAUUCUUUCAUGCUGUGGCAAAUGGAAGACACCAGAGAUGUAUGAUCCGUGUUCUCCGAGAUGGAAAUAAUGUUAUCACUGAAGAUGAUGCCCUCCAAACCCAUAUUUAUGCGUUUUACCGGGAGCUAUUAGGCUCUUCUGGGGUGGGAUCAGCAUCUCUUCACGACUCAAUCUGGGAUAACGAGCGAUUGGUCUCUGAAGAUGAUAACUCCAUCCUCACUAAGCCUUUCACGCUUGAUGAGAUCACAGCUAACCUAAAUCAGACGAGGGUGAACACGGCGCCCGGGCCUGAUGGUUUCCCGGUCAUCUUCUAUAAGCGGUUUUGGAAUAUAGUGGGACCACAAUUCGCUCACCUUGUGAAUGAAUUCACCAGUGGCCGAAUAGACAUUAAACGCCUAAAUUAUGGGGUGUUGGCUUUGAUUCUGAAGAUGCCGAGUGCAGACCAAAUUAGGCACUUCCGCCCCCUCACGCUCAUAAAUGUCAGCUUCAGGCUGAUUGCUAAGGGAUUUGCCUCUCGCAUUGCUCCGGUGGCAGACAAGAUUAUUGAUAAUCUGCAAACUGCCUUUAUUAAAGGGUGGAGCAUCCUGGACGGUGUAGCGGUGCUCCAUGAGGUGCUUCAUGAGAUUAAGAAUACAAAGGAAGAGAUGUUCAUUCUCAAGCUCGACUUUGAGAAAGCCUAUGACCGGGUCCGGUAG